GUGUCAGCAAAAGCCAAUUGGCUUUUAACCAAUUGGUCGUAGGUUCGAAUCCCACACGACCCACCA
This 66-nucleotide transfer RNA is filed under the name Pseudomonas amygdali pv. morsprunorum. RNAcentral's name for it is "tRNA-Lys". It matches the Rfam family "tRNA", at positions 13 to 71 of the family's 71-position model. Rfam says of the family: Transfer RNA (tRNA) molecules are approximately 80 nucleotides in length. Their secondary structure includes four short double-helical elements and three loops (D, anti-codon, and T loops). Further hydrogen bonds mediate the characteristic L-shaped molecular structure. tRNAs have two regions of fundamental functional importance: the anti-codon, which is responsible for specific mRNA codon recognition, and the 3' end, to which the tRNAs corresponding amino acid is attached (by aminoacyl-tRNA synthetases). tRNAs cope with the degeneracy of the genetic code in two manners: having more than one tRNA (with a specific anti-codon) for a particular amino acid; and 'wobble' base-pairing, i.e. permitting non-standard base-pairing at the 3rd anti-codon position. The record is from RNAcentral. Lineage: Bacteria; Pseudomonadati; Pseudomonadota; Gammaproteobacteria; Pseudomonadales; Pseudomonadaceae. RNAcentral also lists the same sequence under 2 other names.